GUCUUUGUGCAGUCGCAGUAUUGUAGCCUGUGAAGUUUAUCCGAGGCGUCAUUAUUGCUAGUUGAAAACUUUACCCAGUACCCCACUUUAACGACUUGAAAUAGAGUCAUCAAUGGCAAUUUUUGACGAUCUCAAAUUUUGA
Molecule: small nuclear RNA, 142 nt
Organism: Lates calcarifer (barramundi perch)
Lineage: Eukaryota; Metazoa; Chordata; Actinopteri; Centropomidae
Gene: U4
Rfam family: U4 spliceosomal RNA
About the family: U4 small nuclear RNA (U4 snRNA) is a component of the major U2-dependent spliceosome.
Source: Ensembl